This 517-nucleotide ribosomal RNA is filed under the name uncultured Planctomycetota bacterium. RNAcentral describes it as "bacterial SSU rRNA". It matches the Rfam family "Bacterial small subunit ribosomal RNA", at positions 117 to 643 of the family's 1533-position model. The record is from RNAcentral. Lineage: Bacteria; Pseudomonadati; Planctomycetota.
GUAGAUCAUCUGCCCUCAGGCCCGGGAUAGCUGCGGGAAACUGCAGGUAAUACCGGAUAAUAUCUCCGGAUCAAAGGUGUGAUUCCGCCUGGGGAUGAGUCUACAUCCUAUUAGCUAGUUGGUAGGGUAAUGGCCUACCAAGGCAUUGAUGGGUAGCGGGUGUGAGAGCACGACCCGCGUCAUUGGGACUGAGACACUGCCCAGACACCUACGGGUGGCUGCAGUCGAGAAUCUUCGGCAAUGGGCGCAAGCCUGACCGAGCGACGCCGCGUGCGGGAUGAAGGCCUUCGGGUUGUAAACCGCUGUCAGAGGGGAUGAAAUGCAGGUGGGUUCUCCCAUCUGUUUGACAUAGCCUCAGAGGAAGGACGGGCUAAGUUCGUGCCAGCAGCCGCGGUAAGACGAACCGUCCAAACGUUAUUCGGAAUUACUGGGCUUAAAGGGUGCGUAGGCGGCGCGGAAAGUUGGGUGUGAAAUCCCUCGGCUCAACCGAGGAACUGCGCCCAAUACUGCCGUGCUC